UCUCCCCCUCUCUCUAUCUCUCUCUCUCGCUAGUGCAGAAGUGAUUUUCUAUUGUAUGCAUCGAUCUGGGAUUGAUUUGGGUACUUGUGGAUGUACGCCCCUUCUAUCUCUCUCUCUGAUUUUUGUACGUGUGGAUGUGCAACACAAUAAUCUGAUUUCUUUGGUGUAGAAGCAAAGGGCAAGAGAAAGGGAUUGCACGAAAUUGUGACUUGUUCUUGGUGUAGAAGCAACAGACAAGAGAAAGGGAUUGGAAGAAAUUGCGACUAGUCCACAUAGCCCGUCUGUGACUGCCGCCGGCCGAGGCCGGUCUUUUCCGACCGCCGCCGCUGACGUAGGGCACGACGAGCCGGCGUCCGUAGGGUGGGAUCUGGGGCAGGCCUGGGGCCUGGCCGUGUUUUUUUUUAUUUUCUCCGAACUGCAUCAGUGGCGGGCGGUUGUGUGUGACCGACAGUGAUGUCUACGGCAUCAGUAACAAGCAUGUUGCCCGUCACUGAUGAUAGGUACAUCAGUAACGGUCGAGGCGACCGUUACCGUUACUGAUGAUACCCAUCAUCAGUAACACGAAGUUAGUAACGGCGGCCCCGACCGUUACUGAUGUUGUUUUUCGACCGUUACUGAUAAGCCUUUCUGUAGUAGUGGCGGACGCGUUCCGCCACGUCCGAUCUGCAAUGAACGGACAACCUUAUUCUUCGUUCCUUUUAUUCUUCUGAUGCAUACGAACGCUUCCUCUCCCCGGUCCCUACUGCCACCAUCCCUCAUGUCUG
This 764-nucleotide long non-coding RNA is filed under the name Brachypodium distachyon (stiff brome). RNAcentral's name for it is "long non-coding RNA (BDIS_LNC002271)". The record is from RNAcentral. Lineage: Eukaryota; Viridiplantae; Streptophyta; Magnoliopsida; Poales; Poaceae.